RNAcentral lists this long non-coding RNA (978 nucleotides) under Homo sapiens (human). Its description in RNAcentral is "HSALNT0363249". Lineage: Eukaryota; Metazoa; Chordata; Mammalia; Primates; Hominidae. The record is from RNAcentral.
AGUCAGCCUUCUGUCUCCAGGCCUGUGGACUGGCUCUUCCCUCUUCCUGGGCACUCUUGCCCUGGCACCCCUCCAGCUGGGGCUCAAAUGUCACCACCUGGGUGAGGUCUGCCCCGCCUCCCCAGCCGGAGGCACUGCUGGCUCUUCCUCUCUUUCUCCAUCACAGUUAUCACGCCAACAUACGAUGGGAAGAACUUGUCUGUCUGGACAGGGAUCUCUGGGUGUUCUGUGCACAGCGGGUGGCACAGGGUGGGCUCUCAAUAAAUCCUGAGUGACUGAAUGAACGGAAAUGUCAGCCAGCAGCAUCAGCGGCAGCCUGGGGCUCCAGUUCCCUCUUCCCAUCACCAAACGGCCCUGGGAAACAUCAAGGCCCAGUGACACCUGCACCCUCCCCUCCAGAUCUCCCCGCAGCUCCUAGUCUCCCAUGGGGGACGCCCAAGGCCCAGUCCUUCUCUCCCUUCUCCUCUCACUGUGGCCAAGGCAGAACCCACCCACCCCUGCUGCUUUCUCCCGGGUGGACAGAUUCGGGAAACAGGACCUCCUACCUCCUGCCUCUGGAGCUGCCUGGGGCUCCUUGGGCCACCCCCAAAGAUCAUCCUAAAAGACCAUCCCCAAAGACUGGCCUCUCGUGGUGGCUUGGGCUGCAGUCCUGGUUCUGCUUCUUAUUCCUGAAACUGCCUUUGCAAAAACUAUAACUGAUACAGGCCAGGCGCAGUGGCUCACGCCUGUAAUCCCAGCACUUUGGGAGGCCGAGGCGGAAGGACCACCUGAGGUCAGGAGUUCGAGACCAGCCUGACCAACAUAGUGAAACCCCAUCUCUACCAAAAAUACAAAAAUUAGCCGGGUGUGAUGACGGGCGCCUGUAGUCCCAGCUACUUGGGAUGCUGAGGCAGGAGAAUCGCUUGAACCCGAGAGGCAGCUGUUGCAGUGAGCCAAGAUCAUGCCACUAUACUCCAGCCUGGGCAACAGAGCGAGACU